This 125-nucleotide small nucleolar RNA is filed under the name Echinops telfairi (small Madagascar hedgehog). RNAcentral's name for it is "Small nucleolar RNA SNORA27 (ENSETEG00000026923.1)". The record is from RNAcentral. Lineage: Eukaryota; Metazoa; Chordata; Mammalia; Afrosoricida; Tenrecidae.
UCGCACCUUUUUACUUUGGCAGUUGGACUGACAUCACCAAGACAUGACUUGGUCACUCAAGUGGGGCAAAAGUGUUAUCAUUUUAAAACUCAGGCAAACUGUGUAUCCAGUCAAAGGAAACGAGU